GUGCUUGCUUCGGCAGCACUUACACUAAAAUUGGAACGACACAGAAGAUUAGCAUGGCCCCUGGGCAAGGAUGACAGGCAAAUGCGUGAAGUGUUCCAUAUUUUU
Molecule: small nuclear RNA, 105 nt
Organism: Myotis myotis
Lineage: Eukaryota; Metazoa; Chordata; Mammalia; Chiroptera; Vespertilionidae
Source: RefSeq, a predicted model, not a curated record